This is a long non-coding RNA of Hypanus sabinus (Atlantic stingray), 4349 nucleotides long. RefSeq lists it as uncharacterized. The record is from RefSeq and is a predicted model, not a curated record. Lineage: Eukaryota; Metazoa; Chordata; Chondrichthyes; Myliobatiformes; Dasyatidae. The transcript has 3 exons.
CUUCAUUUACUUUCAUUAAUCUGGACUUUCGCCUUCCUCUAACUCUUAAACCAAUCGUCCCACGAUUUCAUCCAUCUACCUAGCCCAAGUCGCCGACUAUUCGCCUCUUCACCAAGCUACGAGGAAAAGAACAACAGCACAACUUACUUUUUACUAUCACAUGGAGACCAGAACUGCACACAACAGUUCAUAUAUGGUCUAACCAGUGUAUUGGAACUACAUUCAUCCAAGCAAGUUGAGGGCAGUUCAUCUCUUUCCUGUCGUGCUUUUUGGACAAGCUUUGGAAGGUUUUUACACCUUGUUAAUUAAAACAACGAAGAAGACAAAGCACGUGCCAUGCACUCACCACGGCGAGACUAAAAAUCCUCUGAGAGGUGUGUUCCUAGCGCUAUAAAUGCGCAUAGCAAGGCCCGAGAAAACGAUGACGUUCGCCGGGAUUUUCAAUGGCUGGGGAAAAAAAGGAAAUUUGAAGUCUGAAGAAUGCAAACCUGAUUCAAAAUUAUGAUCUACUAAACAACAGCUUUUGCUAUGUGUUCCUAAGACUAUCUAUAAAAGGCACCUCAAUGAACUGGAAAAAUAGCACCUCUAUUUUCUCUACAAAGUCAUCUAAAUUCACUGGAAGUAGAAGUGAACCUGUCAUUGUCUAGAUCCAGCAGGGAGAUCUUAGUUAUUUGCAGUUGGGUUGCAACAUUAUUCACAAGCCUUGCGCUGGAUUUCAGAGAAGAGUCUAUUUUGUGCUCUGUUAUUGGAAAUUGCCAAGCAGAUGGAAAAUAUGAAUUGAAGAUGCACUCACAAUGCUUCCUUGAAUUACAGUAGCCUCCUGGGAACCUGUGACCAAAUUGCUCAAAUGGAGAAGGAGCCAUAAGGAUGAUAUUGAAGAAAAAAAAAACAUGCAUCAGGAGGAUAAAUACUCCAUGAUUUUGUGAUGGAAGGAAUGCACUAACUCACAAGCUAUCCUUCAGCCUCCCCUGUUAGCCACCUUCUGUCCCAUAAUGUAUGAUGCAGCAGAACGUAUAGCAUGAAACAGAUGAAUAAAAGAUUUGUUGAACCAUAUAUCUCAGUCCAAAAGUCUAACAAACUGCUCUGGAAAAUAAACAAAAUGUAGCAUGAUGGCAGGGGUUAAGUAAGUGAAGAAAAAAAUAUGUACAAGUGUUUGUGCUGAACCUGUGUGUGAAAUAGUUAUAAUCCCUGCACAAUUUCAACCUUCAAUGCACUGGGAAGCCAAUGUCAACUUAGAAGCAUUCAGAAAUGUAAACAAGAAAUGUAUAUUUGACUUUAGCCUUUUUGCAAAUUUGCAGUCAAUCCCUCGAAGGAUAAGUAGAUAGGCUGGUUAACAUGAUGCUGCACCGGGAGCUGAGCAAUCUUGGGAGCUGAACAUCAUCAUAAUGUACACCCAGUCGAUCUGUCUCCUGCACGGCGCUGACGUUGGUUACUGAUCCUUUGGUUCAAAUAGAUGUUGGCUUGGGAGCUUUCUCAUUACUGCUCCAGACGACUCUGAUCUGCUGGUUUCUUAUGCAUGCUGGUCAAAGAAGUAGAGGUAAGGUUACUAAUUGUGUUAUGUUAUUAUUUAUUACACUUAUAGAGAGCAUGAGAAACAGGCCCUUUGGCCCAAGUUGCGCAUACCAACUGAACUAGUGCCGUUUGCCUGUAGUCGGCCCACACUUUUCCUAUCCGUGUAGUUGUAAAAUGUCUUUUAACUGCCAUAAUUGUACCAAACCUCUACCACCUCUUCUGGUAGCUCACUCCACAUAUACACCACCCUCUAUGUACACUUGACAUCUAAACUCUUGUUUUGGACUUACAUAUUUCUUGUGAAAUGGUGAUUACAGUUUUUUGGGAUUCAUAUAUGUUUCUGAAAUUUAUCCAAUAUAAAAUAUCAUAAUUCAUAAGAACAGAAUUAGGUCAAUUAGUUCAUUGAGUCUGCUCCGCCAUUCAAUCAUGGCUGAUCCUUUUUUCCCCUCCUCAGCCAUGUCCAAUCAAGAGCCUAUCAAUCUCUACCUUAAAUACAUCGAAUGAGCCAGGCUUCACAGCUGCCUGUGGUAAUGAAUUCCACAAAUUCACCAACCUCGGGCUAAAGGAAUUUCUCUGCAUCUUUUUUAAAUGGAUGUCCCUCUAUCCUGAGACUGUGCCCUCUUAAUACUAGGCUCCCCCACCAUGGGAAACAUCCUUUCCACAUCUACUUUGUUCAGACUUUUCAACAUUCUAAAGGUUUCAAUGAGAUCCCCCUCAUCCUUCUGAAUUCCAGUGAGUACGGACCCAGAGCCAUCAAAUAUUCCUCAUAUGAUAAUUCUUUCAUUCCCGGAAUCAUCCUUGUGAAUUUCCUCUGAGCCCUCUCCAAUGCCAGCACAUCUUUUCUUAGACAAGGAACCCAGAACUGUGCACAAUACUCAAGAUGAGGCCUCACCAGUGGCUUAUAAAGCUUUAGCAUCACAUCCCUGCUCUUGUAUGGUAGACCUCUUGAAAUGAAUGCUAACCUUGCAUUUGUCUUCCUUACCACCAACUGUACCUGUGUUAACUUUUAGGGUGUUCUGGACAAGGACUCCCAACUUCCUUUGCAUCUCAGAUUUUUGGAUUUUUUUCCCCAUUUAGAAAAUAACUUGCACAUUUAUUUCCCAUCUCUUAUUUUUUACAUACUUGAAAAAGCUUUUACUAUCCACUUUGAUAUUCUUUGCUAACUUGCUUUCAUGUUUCAUCUUUUCCCUCCUAAUGAUUCUUUUAGUUGCUCCCUGUAGUUUUUAAAGAGUCCCAAUCCUCUGUCUUCCCACUAAUUUUUGCAUUGUUGUAUGCCCUCUCUUUUGGUUUUACAUUAGCUUUGACUUCCCUUGUCAGCCACAGUUGUACUAAUUUGCCAUUUGAGUAUUUAUUUGUUUUUGCAAUACAUCUAUCCUGCACCUUCCUAAUUUUUUCCAGAAACUCAAGCCAUUGCUGCUCUGCUGUCAUCCCUGCCAAUAUCUCUUUCCAAUUUACUUUGGCCAACUCCUCGCUCAUACCACUGUAAUUUCCUUUACUCCACUGAAAUACUGCUACGUCAGACUUUACUUUCUCCCUGUGAAAUUUCAAGUUGAACUCAGUCAUAUUGUGAUCACUGCCUCCUAAGGGUUCUUUUACCUUAAGCUCCCUAAUCACCUCUGGUUCAUUACGUAACACUCAAUCCAGUAUGGCUGAUCCCCUAGUAGGCUCAACAACAACCUGCUCUAAAAAGCCACCUUGUAGGCAUUUAACAAAGUCACUCUGAGGUCCAUUGCCAAUCUGAGUUUCCAAUUGACCUGCAUGUUGAAAUCUCCCAUGACUAUCAUAACCUUGCCCUUUUAAUACACCUUUUCUAUUUCCCGUUGUAAUCUGUGGUCCACAUCCCAGCUACUGUUGAGAGGCCUGUACAUAACUGCUGUCAGGGUCCUUUUAUCCUUGCAGUUUCUUAACUCAACCCAUAAGGAUUCAACAUCUUCCAAUCCUAUGUCACAUCUUUACUGAUUUGAUGCUGAAAAGAUUUAAUGUAAGCUUUGUGAAAAAGAUGUAGUUUUUUGAAAAACAGGAGUAAUGAAGGGAAGAUCAAUAAAUGCCUUUUGUAGACAUAUCAACAGUUGGGCAAAAAGUGGUAACAGAAAUAAAAAGCCUGAUGUGUUUUUUCAAAAAUUCAUUACAUAACACAAGUCAAAAUUUAGUCACUGGACUAACAAAUUGGAAUAUCAGUACCUGAUACAAAAGACAGAUGAGACUGAUAUUCUUCUUCCAGACAACUUAAAAAUUCAGCAGAUAAGUGCUGGAUGCAGAAUACCUAAAUGUGCAGAAAACAUUUGUUUGGUGAGAUGCAGCUCUUUUUAUCAUGGGCUGCAGAUACAGGUGGAGCAUAGGAAGCCACGAGUAUUCAAGAUUAUAGGAAUGCAAAUUCACAUCUGUUUAUUACAAAGGAUGUUCCCUGAAAAACUGAAAGAAGGUGGGAAUCCAUAAAAGAAGAAAGUAAAAUGAGCAGCAUAUGGAGGUGAAAUUCCACAGCGUGAAACAAUCUGAAUCUAAAGGACACACAGGGAAAGAAAUCAAUUCAUGAUCAAGUUACAGAAAUUUGUCAAGAGCCACAUUUGACAACAGUAAGCAAUGAGAUGGGGAAGCCAACAAUUGAAAACUGAUAAUAACAUGCGGACGGAGAAGCACUCUGCAUUCAAUAAGAGCCAAAACAGGCUUAAAUCAAAUGCACCCUUAAUGUUCAGAUAAAUUUACGUUAACGUAUAUCUGCAGAAUACUUUUUAUCCGUUAAUAUUAGUGUGUUGAUAUUAUAUGUAUUGUUUGUGUUGUAUGUACUGUGUUUUCCCUGAAGAAAGUUUUGUCCAGCUGCAUACAUGUGUAUGGUUGAA